AUGUUUGAAACAACUAAUUGUAAUCAGUUUCGACCUGAUAUUUAAGUUAAUUUUAACUCAAACAUU
This 66-nucleotide transfer RNA is filed under the name Empria sp. RNAcentral describes it as "tRNA-Arg". The record is from RNAcentral. Lineage: Eukaryota; Metazoa; Arthropoda; Insecta; Hymenoptera; Tenthredinidae.